This 503-nucleotide ribosomal RNA is filed under the name uncultured bacterium. RNAcentral describes it as "partial 16S ribosomal RNA". It matches the Rfam family "Bacterial small subunit ribosomal RNA", at positions 30 to 523 of the family's 1533-position model. The record is from RNAcentral.
AUUGAACGCUGGCGGCAGGCUUAACACAUGCAAGUCGAGCGGGGUGAUGGUGCUUGCACUAUCACUUAGCGGCGGACGGGUGAGUAAUGCUUAGGAAUCUGCCUAUUAGUGGGGGACAACAUCUCGAAAGGGAUGCUAAUACCGCAUACGUCCUACGGGAGAAAGCAGGGGAUCACUUGUGACCUUGCGCUAAUAGAUGAGCCUAAGUCGGAUCAGCUAGUUGGUGGGGUAAAGGCCUACCAAGGCGACGAUCUGUAGCGGGUCUGAGAGGAUGAUCCGCCACACUGGGACUGAGACACGGCCCAGACUCCUACGGGAGGCAGCAGUGGGGAAUAUUGGACAAUGGGGGGAACCCUGAUCCAGCCAUGCCGCGUGUGUGAAGAAGGCCUUAUGGUUGUAAAGCACUUUAAGCGAGGAGGAGGCUCUUUUGGUUAAUACCCAUGAUGAGUGGACGUUACUCGCAGAAUAAGCACCGGCUAACUCCGUGCCAGCAGCCGCCGUAA